CCUACGGGAGGCAGCAGUGGGGAAUAUUGGACAAUGGGGGCAACCCUGAUCCAGCCAUGCCGCGUGUGUGAAGAAGGCCUUUUGGUUGUAAAGCACUUUAAGCAGGGAGGCGUUACCUGCAGAAUAAGCACCGGCUAACUCUGUGCCAGCAGCCGCGGUAAUACAGAGGGUGCGAGCGUUAAUCGGAAUUACUGGGCGUAAAGCGAGUGUAGGUGGCUCAUUAAGUCACAUGUGAAAUCCCCGGGCUUAACCUGGGAACUGCAUGUGAUACUGUGGUGCUAGAAUAUGUGAGAGGGAAGUAGAAUUCCAGGUGUAGCGGUGAAAUGCGUAGAGAUCUGGAGGAAUACCGAUGGCGAAGGCAGCUUCCUGGCAUAAAUUGACACUGAGAUUCGAAAGCGUGGGUAGCAAACAGGAUUAGAUACCCUUGUAGUC
RNAcentral lists this ribosomal RNA (432 nucleotides) under uncultured bacterium. RNAcentral describes it as "partial 16S ribosomal RNA". It matches the Rfam family "Bacterial small subunit ribosomal RNA", at positions 338 to 795 of the family's 1533-position model. The record is from RNAcentral.